AUGAUCCAUCUACAAUACGCUCUCUGCUAAUUCAGUAGGUAUGAUCAUCUACUGGAGGCUCUCUGCUAAUUCAGGAGGUAUGAUCCAUCUACUGGAGGCUCUCUGCUAAUUCAGGAGGUAUGAUCCAUCUACAAUACGCUCUCUGCUAAUUCAGGAGGUAUGAUCCAUCUACAAUACGCUCUCUGCUAAUUCAGGAGGUAUGAUCCAUCUACUGGAGGCUC
This is a non-coding RNA of Oncorhynchus mykiss (rainbow trout), 221 nucleotides long. Lineage: Eukaryota; Metazoa; Chordata; Actinopteri; Salmoniformes; Salmonidae. The record is from RefSeq and is a predicted model, not a curated record.